AUGCAUUCUGUUCUUUUUGACUUGCUUCGUAUGGGACAUCCUCAUGGUUCUAUUUCUAGUGUUUUAAAUUUUUUGUGGUGUCUCUGGAAGGCUAGAAAUGAUUUUCUCUUUGAUAGAAAAAAGGCUCUUCCCCACCAAGUUCAUAUUGCAGCUCUUGCUUUAGCUUCUGAUUGUUAUGAUAAUCUUCCAUGUUUACCUUCGAAGCAGGAUCAAGCUCAUAAUCAAUUGCCUCCUAAUCAGCUCCCUAUGCAAGGUAGAACGCUUAAGACAGAUCUGUUAAUUGUUGGCCCUAAGAUCUAUUCUGAUGCCGCUUAUAGGACCAAGAAAGUUCCAGGUUUGUUGCAAGGAGAGGUUGCUACAGGUGUGGGAGUGUACAUCUCUAUGCCCUUCAACCAAAAGGAAAUUAAUGUGCAAGUUCAAGCUUCGGCUUCUCCUACUUCUACUCCUCUGCAAGCUGAAGCAUUGGCUCUUUCUUUUGCUGCUCAUCUUGCUUCUCAACUCAAUAUUGCGCAGCCCACUUUUCUUUUGGAUUGUCUUGCUUUAGCUUUGGCUGUUGCCUCAGGUAAUAUUUGUGAUUCUGCCACCCCUUGGAAUAUUAGAAAGUCUUUGGCUAGCUUUUUCAAAUGUACAUCUAAUUUGCAACCGUGCGUGUUUCAUAUUUCUAGAGAAAUCAAUGGUAUUGCUCACAAUCUUGCGCAACAGGUUUUUCGUUCUGAUGGGCACACUCAACUCUCUUGUUUUGCUGCUACUCAUUCUCAAGUUUCUUGUCCUGUGUUGCCCCUUCUUUCAAAUUUCCAGAUUCAGGGUUUUAGAAUUCAUACUUUACAUUGCUACUAA
RNAcentral lists this ribosomal RNA (837 nucleotides) under Triticum aestivum (bread wheat). RNAcentral's name for it is "partial small subunit ribosomal RNA". Lineage: Eukaryota; Viridiplantae; Streptophyta; Magnoliopsida; Poales; Poaceae. The record is from RNAcentral.